Molecule: long non-coding RNA, 142 nt
Organism: Zonotrichia leucophrys gambelii
Lineage: Eukaryota; Metazoa; Chordata; Aves; Passeriformes; Passerellidae
Exons: 2
Source: RefSeq, a predicted model, not a curated record
CACAAAGAAAGCAAUGCUUUGUUAAUUACAAGAAAGGAACUGCAGGAACUCCAGCGUUGAAAAUGUUUAAGUGGUUUUAGCUGUUCACUUGAAUUGGUGUGGUCUCACUGGACAAGAUCAGAAUAAACUGAAAUCAUUCCCA